CCAUCUUGACAAAUAAUACAGGAACGCAAAUGUGCACUGCACCUUAAUUGACGACACGCGAGCUUGAGCGGUGUGGAUUCUGCUGGCGCAGGUAAGGAGUGCGGCACAAGCCCCAGGAAUAAAUCCAAAGGUGGCGACAAACGUUUAUCUCACCGCUGCCGCAGAUGCUGUGAGGAGCGCGAGAGGAGACAGAGGAGAAGAAGCACCUGGGAAAACGCCGAGUUCCGAAGACCCGCAUCGAGGAGGUCAUGAAAGGGAUGUGCGACUCGGGCCGCUACCAUGUGACGAACAACAACUGCCAGAAGUGGGCCAAGGAGCUACUGCGUCGGCUGGGCAUACAGGCGCCCUCGGGUGAACGCGACGCCCAAGCCGUGCUCCAGGAAGUCGUCCAGCCAGCCGCCACCAUGGGCCUCGGCUCCGUGGUGCUGUAUGGCGCCGUGAGGGCGGCUAAGUUCGUCUUCACCAGGGGACUCUUUUAGGAGCAACAAGACUAGCAGGAAUGGCGCCGUAUUCCUUCGCGGCCGAUUCCGCUUCGCUGCAACUCAACAGCACAUCGAACAAUAGAUGAAGAUGCUUGUCCAGAGAUUAUCUUGCGCCCAAACCUUUUGCGUAGUACCGGGCUACCAGAUUAACCGGGGGCAUAAACGUGAGCGGCCGCAUAGGUGGCGGAGAGCUUUAACUACAUAGCGUUGCAGUAACUUCGUUGCAGUAACUAGUAUAUUGUACUUUGCUGCUGGCGACGGCAGCGACGGAAGUCCUUCAGAAAUCCUUCAUAAAUUCUUGUUUCGGCGAGAAUGCCCAUGUAAGACAAAAAUAACUAUAACGCGUUCUGGUUAGGCAAAGCGUCGGUAACAGCGCCGUUGCUGCUGACCAUAUCUCCGGUAACCUGAUGUACGGUUUAGGUUAAUUAAUCUAUCUACGGACGAGCUAAGAAUCUCCACACCUGCUAUAAAAUUGUCACUUCCUUAAACCCGUUUUUGCCGCCUUGUGAUCACUGCGCUCAAGUGCAUACAGAAUUUAAAGGGAAAAUGAAAUACUUGCCGUCGAUUUCAAAAAUUGCUUCAAUAGGAUCAGAGUUAAAUGAAAAGAAGUAAUGCACUUCCAAAACAGCUAUUCGGGAAGGAAAUACUAAAAACACGCACCUAAUAAACAAUGGUGCUUAGUAAUAAACGACACUCUGCUUUCAACUGUCAACCUUCCCUACUAUGUGGAAGGUUGCAUCGUGAAACGUGAUCGAAAAGGAAGGCUUAAUAACAUCACUGUGACACCUUUUACGGACAUAAAAAUACAGUUACCAUAUUUCCUAUCAAAUAGGCAGCAAAGGUGCAAAUCUGUCGCCGCCACUGUUCUGAAAAGUUAUGAGUUAUAAAACAGGAUUGUUGCUAUUCUUCGGUAAUUUUCCCUCUUGGGCAAAUUACCGAAGAGAAACGUGCUUCUUAAACGUUAGUAACCACGUGAGUCCAACAAAAAGAGAAUAAAGCAUUCCUUAUUUUCA
Dermacentor andersoni is the source of this 1495-nucleotide non-coding RNA. The record is from RefSeq and is a predicted model, not a curated record. Lineage: Eukaryota; Metazoa; Arthropoda; Arachnida; Ixodida; Ixodidae.